CAGCUCCAAUAGCGUAUAUUAAAAUUGUUGCAGUUAAAAAGCUCGUAGUUGAAUUUCUGCCGCCCCGCCGCGGCCCCCGGGCCCGACGUCGCGGCUUAUUUCGGCGACCUCGCGCCGCCGAAUGUUUACUUUGAGAAAAUUAGAGUGCUCAAAGCAGGCCCUUGCCUUGAAUACUUUAGCAUGGAAUAAUAAAGUAGGACUUUGGUUCUAUUUUGUUGGUUUAGCGCCAAAGUAAUGGUUAAUAGGAACAGUUGGGGGCAUUCGUAUUUAACUGUCAGAGGUGAAAUUCUUAGAAUUGUUAAAGACGAACCACUGCGAAAGCAUUUGCCAAGGAUGUUUUCAUUAAUCAAGAACGAAAGUUAGGGGAUCGAAGACGAU
RNAcentral lists this ribosomal RNA (378 nucleotides) under Theileria sp. RNAcentral describes it as "SSU rRNA". It matches the Rfam family "Eukaryotic small subunit ribosomal RNA", at positions 586 to 1008 of the family's 1831-position model. The record is from RNAcentral. Lineage: Eukaryota; Apicomplexa; Aconoidasida; Piroplasmida; Theileriidae.